RNAcentral lists this ribosomal RNA (497 nucleotides) under uncultured bacterium. RNAcentral's name for it is "partial 16S ribosomal RNA". It matches the Rfam family "Bacterial small subunit ribosomal RNA", at positions 28 to 507 of the family's 1533-position model. The record is from RNAcentral.
GAUGAACGCUGGCGGCGUGCCUAAUACAUGCAAGUCGAGCGAACAGACGAGGAGCUUGCUCCUCUGACGUUAGCGGCGGACGGGUGAGUAACACGUGGAUAACCUACCUAUAAGACUGGGAUAACUUCGGGAAACCGGAGCUAAUACCGGAUAAUAUAUUGAACCGCAUGGUUCAAUAGUGAAAGACGGUUUUGCUGUCACUUAUAGAUGGAUCCGCGCCGCAUUAGCUAGUUGGUAAGGUAACGGCUUACCAAGGCGACGAUGCGUAGCCGACCUGAGAGGGUGAGCGGCCACACUGGAACUGAGACACGGUCCAGACUCCUACGGGAGGCAGCAGUAGGGAAUCUUGCGCAAUGGGCGAAAGCCUGACGGAGCAACGCCGCGUGAGUGAUGAAGGUCUUCGGAUCGUAAAACUCUGUUAUUAGGGAAGAACAAAUGUGUAAGUAACUAUGCACGUCUUGACGGUACCUAAUCAGAAAGCCACGGCUAACUACGUG